CAAAUGACUCUCGGCAACGGAUAUCUCGGCUCACGGAUCGAUGAAGAACGUAGCAAAAUGGAUACUUGGUGUGAAUUGCAGAAUCCCGUGACCAUCGAGUUUUUGAACGCAAGUUGCGCCCGAAGCCUUUUGGCCGAGGGCACGUCUGCCUGGGCGUCACAC
RNAcentral lists this ribosomal RNA (162 nucleotides) under Endocellion glaciale. Its description in RNAcentral is "5.8S ribosomal RNA". It matches the Rfam family "5.8S ribosomal RNA". Rfam says of the family: 5.8S ribosomal RNA (5.8S rRNA) is a component of the large subunit of the eukaryotic ribosome. The record is from RNAcentral. Lineage: Eukaryota; Viridiplantae; Streptophyta; Magnoliopsida; Asterales; Asteraceae.